CGGGAAAAUGCAAGGUUCUACCGAGCAUUUUCCCGUUUCGUGCCGAAUUUCCCCCUUGGGGUACCAUUUUGGGGUAUUUCCCUAUGAGCGUAGUCUAGGCGGUAAGCAUUGACAAUUUAAGGAAAUAGAAAGGGAAAAUGAAUUUAAUUUUAAUAACAUUUGAUAAACAUGGUAUAUAAAUUACCAAUUUGAAGACAUAACAGGUUUAAAUUCAUAAAAGUUUGACCAUUGUUACUACACGUUGUCAUGGUUGUGACGUGACGUUGUAAGUAGGCGGGGC
This 280-nucleotide long non-coding RNA is filed under the name Mytilus galloprovincialis (Mediterranean mussel). The record is from RNAcentral. Lineage: Eukaryota; Metazoa; Mollusca; Bivalvia; Mytilida; Mytilidae.